UGCAUCGAAGGUGCCACGUUCGCUACUAACAGGGACGUCGGAGCAGCAGCAAGCGCCAGACAACGAAGCGUUGCGAGGCAUGAGAGGCACUCGAGUGCACGGCGAAACAGGAAAACAUCGCGCACUCAGGGGAGAAAAGCGUGCCCCGUCUCUGCUGUUGAAGGCCGUAAUCUUGCGGAAGUGGCCGUAGUCGUUCCGCUCGAAGCGAAGCCUCUGUUCCGUUGCGAAGUGCACACCCCAGGGGCCAACAGACAACGGGCUUUUGUGCAUUCGCAUGCUGCGCUCCAGCUCGCGCGCCGUGCUGCGGGCGCCAGUAUUUUGCCGUAUCGUCGAUGUGAUGCGGCAGCAUGAACCCUACGCGCGUGCUGGCAUCCUGUACCCCAUUCGUGUGGAGCUUGGCGAAGGUGUGGAGGCAUGCACGCCGGCAGAGCUACAGGAGAAGAUCGACGCGAUGCUGUCCCGGUCGCAACGUUUUGCCACUGUCAAGACUGGCAACGUGUACUCGCGUAAUAACUCCGUGGCGACGGUCAUCAAGGCAUAUGGGCAGUACGUUGUCACCGGCAAUAUGCGAGGCGGGUAUGUGAAGGGGGAUCACCGCUAUGGUCCGCGCCUGACCGGGUACGGCGGCGCCACUGCGAAGCCGGGGCUGCGGUGGAACGGCGACGAUCUGUGACGUGGUGGCCGCGACGUUCUUCUCGCGAGUCCAUCUUCCUUUGUGUGGUGGAAGUCGUGAGCGCUCGAGGAACGCUCUGUGUUUUCAUGUGCAAGGCUGCAUAUUUGCCCCUUUCUUGUGGGGCGAACGGCCCUCUCUCCGCACUGUGCGAUAUGCGCACAGGUGAAGCCCACACACACGCACACGAAAAAAGAGUAAUGUACCUUCACAGGCGAGCCUCUUGAGGGCCCUAGAACUUAGCCCGGGUGCACGUGAGACGAGUGGUUGAGGGUAAAGGUGCGAAGCAUCUAGCUGUAGCAGGCUGUGCUGCCUCUGCUGGCAACCACAGCUGCGUCAUCGAAUGAGAAACGCAUGCUCAUGCCCGUCACAUUGCCCUCCGCCCUCUUCCAUGCUUUUCGCUGUUGCUCUCUCCCUCUUGCUGUCUCUCUCUCUCUCUGAGAGUGUCGGUGUCGUACCACCCGUUGCUGAGUUCACGCAG
This 1151-nucleotide unclassified non-coding RNA is filed under the name Leishmania donovani. RNAcentral's name for it is "gene:LdHU3.26.1000(CDS-product:hypothetical_prote in_conserved)". The record is from RNAcentral. Lineage: Eukaryota; Euglenozoa; Kinetoplastea; Trypanosomatida; Trypanosomatidae.